Non-coding RNA from Dovyalis caffra, 75 nucleotides. NCBI's taxonomy places the organism in Eukaryota, Viridiplantae, Streptophyta, Magnoliopsida, Malpighiales, Salicaceae. The record is from the annotation of a GenBank genome assembly.
GCAUUUGUAGUUUAACGGUUAAAGUAAUUGUUUUCCGAGCAAUAGAACUUAGGUUCAACUCCCGACGUAAAUGCU